RNAcentral lists this ribosomal RNA (459 nucleotides) under Salmonella enterica. RNAcentral's name for it is "bacterial SSU rRNA". It matches the Rfam family "Bacterial small subunit ribosomal RNA", at positions 1 to 456 of the family's 1533-position model. The record is from RNAcentral. Lineage: Bacteria; Pseudomonadati; Pseudomonadota; Gammaproteobacteria; Enterobacterales; Enterobacteriaceae.
AAAUUGAAGAGUUUGAUCAUGGCUCAGAUUGAACGCUGGCGGCAGGCCUAACACAUGCAAGUCGAACGGUAACAGGAAGCAGCUUGCUGCUUCGCUGACGAGUGGCGGACGGGUGAGUAAUGUCUGGGAAACUGCCUGAUGGAGGGGGAUAACUACUGGAAACGGUGGCUAAUACCGCAUAACGUCGCAAGACCAAAGAGGGGGCCCUUCGGGCCUCUUGCCAUCAGAUGUGCCCAGAUGGGAUUAGCUUGUUGGUGAGGUAACGGCUCACCAAGGCGACGAUCCCUAGCUGGUCUGAGAGGAUGACCAGCCACACUGGAACUGAGACACGGUCCAGACUCCUACGGGAGGCAGCAGUGGGGAAUAUUGCACAAUGGGCGCAAGCCUGAUGCAGCCAUGCCGCGUGUAUGAAGAAGGCCUUCGGGUUGUAAAGUACUUUCAGCGGGGAGGAAGGUGUUG